This 790-nucleotide long non-coding RNA is filed under the name Equus caballus (horse). RNAcentral's name for it is "lncRNA (ENSECAG00000047334.1)". The record is from RNAcentral. Lineage: Eukaryota; Metazoa; Chordata; Mammalia; Perissodactyla; Equidae.
CACCAAGCAGGGCAAAGAGGGCUGGGCACAGAGCUGCAGCACUGCUGUGAAAACACCUGAGGACACUCUGGUUCCUGAUCUUUUAAAAAGUUUGCUGACCCCUGAGCUUCAGGAUGGGGGAAGUUUUAGAGAUUUUAGGAGAAAGAAAAAGGUACAACAAAAAAGGAUAUUCAUAAACCAACGGAGGCAUUCACACAACACAACAGAUGUCUGAGAGAUCCACGCAGCCAUAUGUGUGAAGGUGGGGGACCCCUCCCCAGGAGGCAAAGGAAGAAGGUAAGCAGAUCUCCUCUCCCCAGGGACAGCAAUUUAGGGCACAGGACCUAGCAUGGGAGCCAACGAACAACUCUGAAAGGAGAAGGGGGACAAAGCAGCCCUCCCUGGGAAGAAUUUUGCUCUUGGAGUUGCCUCACAGCCUGUGGGAAUGCUCCAUACUCAGGUGGCUAAGCAACCAUGGGGGCACCCUCACCAAGCCAAGAAGCCCAGGCAGGCAGCCAGUGCGUGCAGAGCAGGAGAACGAGUGGUAAAGAAGGUGCAUGCCCCUCCAUUCCACCUGGCACAACAGCUCAGCCAGUCAGCCAGGGCAGGGGAGCCCUGCCAAAGCACCUGCACCUAUAUGUGUAAAGGAACAGUGGCCAGACAAAGAGAGCAAAAGUGGCACAGCUUCCAAUGGAUGGGCACAAUGGCCAAAGCUCAUGGGGGGCUCAGAAAACACAGCUCCUGCCCCCACCUCCACAGUGGUAGCAGGUGGAAGCUGCAACCAGACACUACAACUAUGCCACAGCAAAAG